GGCCCUCUAGCUCAGAUGGUUAGAGCAGUCGACUCAUAAUCGAUUGGUCGGUGGGUUCGAGUCCCCUGAGGGUCACCA
RNAcentral lists this transfer RNA (78 nucleotides) under Vibrio alginolyticus. Its description in RNAcentral is "tRNA-Met". It matches the Rfam family "tRNA". Rfam says of the family: Transfer RNA (tRNA) molecules are approximately 80 nucleotides in length. The record is from RNAcentral. Lineage: Bacteria; Pseudomonadati; Pseudomonadota; Gammaproteobacteria; Vibrionales; Vibrionaceae. RNAcentral also lists the same sequence under 2 other names.